Chelonoidis abingdonii (Abingdon island giant tortoise) is the source of this 102-nucleotide non-coding RNA. The record is from RefSeq and is a predicted model, not a curated record. NCBI's taxonomy places the organism in Eukaryota, Metazoa, Chordata, Testudines, Testudinidae.
UGUGCUCCUACACAUUUGUCAGCUUUCUCCCAGCCCUUAAUUUAAAAAGUCCUCUACAGCCUUUUUAAUUUUACAUGCCAGCAAUCUGCUUCUGUUUUAGUU